GGCUAACGUCGUGCAUGCUGCGGCGGUAGUAUGGAGGGGGCGAGCGUUGGCGGGAUUUAUUGGGCUGAAAGCGCGUGUAGGCGGCCCGGGAGGUCCGUUGUGAAAACUGGAGGCUCAACUGCCAGACGUCGAUGGAAACCGCCAGGCUAGAGUCCGGAAGAGGAGAGUGGAUUUCCUGGUGUGCGGUGAAAUGCGCAGAUAUCAGGAAGAACACCAAUGGCGAAGGCAGCUCUCUGGGACGGUACUGACGCUGAGACGCGAAAGCGUGGGGAGCGAACAGGAUUAGAUACCCGAGUAGUC
Molecule: ribosomal RNA, 300 nt
Filed under: uncultured Lactobacillus sp.
Lineage: Bacteria; Bacillati; Bacillota; Bacilli; Lactobacillales; Lactobacillaceae
Description: bacterial SSU rRNA
Rfam family: Bacterial small subunit ribosomal RNA
Source: RNAcentral